GAUGAACGCUGGCGGCGGGCCUAAUACAUGCAAGUCGAGCGAACGAAGGAGGCUCGCUCUUUGCUUCUGUUAGCGGCGGGCGGGUGAGGCACACGUGUAUAACCGACCUAGAAGACUAACAUAACUUCGGGAGCCCGGAUCUCGUACCCGAUAAUAUGUUGAACCUCAUGGUUCAACAGUCCUAGAGCGUCUUGCUGUCACUUAUACGGAUAUCCGCGCUGCAUUAGCUAGUUGGUAAGGUAAAGGCUUACCAAGGCAACGAUGCAUAGCUGACCUGAGAGGGUGAUCGGCCACACUGGAACUGAGACACGGUCCAGACUCCUACGGGAGGCAGCAGUAGGGAAUCUUGCGCAAUGGGCGAAAGCCUGACGCAGCAAUGCCGCGUGAGUGAUGAAGGUCUUCGGAUCGUAAAACUCUGUAAGUUGGGAAGAACGUAUGUGUAAGUAACUGUGAACAUUUUGACGGUACCAAAUCAGAAAGCACCGGCUAACUACGUG
RNAcentral lists this ribosomal RNA (497 nucleotides) under uncultured bacterium. Its description in RNAcentral is "partial 16S ribosomal RNA". It matches the Rfam family "Bacterial small subunit ribosomal RNA", at positions 28 to 507 of the family's 1533-position model. The record is from RNAcentral.